GACGAACGCUGGCGGCAUGCUUAACACAUGCAAGUCGAACGAUGAAGCCGGAGCUUGCUCCGGUGGAUUAGUGGCGAACGGGUGAGUAACACGUGAGCAAUCUGCCCUUGACUCUGGGAUAACUGCGGGAAACUGUAGCUAAUACCGGAUACGACACCUUGGGGCAUCCCAGGGUGUGGAAAGAAUUUCGGUCAAGGAUGAGCUCGCGGCCUAUCAGCUAGUUGGUGAGGUAAUGGCUCACCAAGGCGACGACGGGUAGCCGGCCUGAGAGGGUGACCGGCCACACGGGAACUGAGACACGGUCCAGACUCCUACGGGAGGCAGCAGUGGGGAAUAGUGCACAAUGGGCGAAAGCCUGAUGCAGCAACGCCGCGUGAGGGAUGAAGGCCUUCGGGUUGUAAACCUCUUUUAGCAGGGAAGAAGCGAAAGUGACGGUACCUGCAGAAAAAGCACCGGCUAACUACGUGCCAGCCGCCGCCGUAA
RNAcentral lists this ribosomal RNA (483 nucleotides) under uncultured bacterium. RNAcentral's name for it is "partial 16S ribosomal RNA". It matches the Rfam family "Bacterial small subunit ribosomal RNA", at positions 28 to 523 of the family's 1533-position model. The record is from RNAcentral.